This 259-nucleotide small RNA is filed under the name Evansella caseinilytica. RNAcentral's name for it is "BsrG". It matches the Rfam family "BsrG". Rfam says of the family: bsrE, bsrG and bsrH pair through intermolecular interactions with antisense sRNAs. SR4 interaction with the 3'UTR of bsrG RNA promotes bsrG degradation and inhibits its translation. Lineage: Bacteria; Bacillati; Bacillota; Bacilli; Caryophanales; Bacillaceae. The record is from Rfam by way of RNAcentral.
UACAAUAGAAUCGGCUCCUCAAGGAUGGUCUGGCUCAUCCCCGGAAAGAUAGGGGGUGAGGCUGAUGACAACAUUUGAAGCAAUGAUGUUGAUGCUUACGUUUGGCUUACUUAUCAUAGCAGUGUUGUCACAAGACAAAAAGAAAUAGGCUCCCCUUGAGUUUUGGCAAACCAGGGACCUAUUUCUCUGUACCAAUUGAGCCGGCCGCUCAGUUGAGAGGCGACUAUUGUAUCGACCGUAGGUGUUACCAGCACCAGCG